GACGAACGCUGGCGGCGUGCUUAACACAUGCAAGUCGAACGGAAAGGCCCUGCUUUUGUGGGGUGCUCGAGUGGCGAACGGGUGAGUAACACGUGAGUAACCUGCCCUUGACUUUGGGAUAACUUCAGGGAACUGGGGCUAAUACCGGAGAGGAGAUCCUGCUGCAUGGUGGGGGUUGGAAAGUGUCGGUGGUUGGGGAUGGACUCGCGGCUUAUCAGCUGGAUGGUGGGGUAGUGGCUUACCAAGGCUUUGACGGGUAGCCGGCCUGAGAGGGUGACCGGCCACAUUGGGACUGAGAUACGGCCCAGACUCCUACGGGAGGCAGCAGUGGGGAAUAUUGCACAAUGGGCGGAAGCCUGAUGCAGCAACGCCGCGUGCGGGAUGACGGCCUUCGGGUUGUAAACCGCUUUCGCCUGUGACGAAGCGUGAGUGACGGUAAUGGGUAAAGAAGCACCGGCUAACUACGUG
Molecule: ribosomal RNA, 468 nt
Filed under: uncultured bacterium
Lineage: Bacteria
Description: partial 16S ribosomal RNA
Rfam family: Bacterial small subunit ribosomal RNA
Source: RNAcentral